GGCCGAAACUCGUAAGAGUCACCAC
This 25-nucleotide non-coding RNA is filed under the name synthetic construct. The record is from RNAcentral.